UUAUAGAUCUCGAUGCAUUGGGUCAAUAAAAAGAUGGGGAAAAUGGAGAUGAAUAAAAUUAAUGUUUCAGGGCAAGUGGAACACACCCAAACGACAUAUUUAAUUUCAUAUAGUGAAAUUAAGUGUAUUCAUAUAAGAAGGUUAGAGCUAACAAAAUCAAAACACAUGCUAUUUAAAGUCAUCAUUGCGCUCAGAACUUGCACGGGAUACAUAAUGGGAAAGAGUGUAGCGACAGAUACGCAGUCAAGAAUAAGCUUUUGGUCAGGUCUAAAAUUGUUAAUGGAUUAGAGUAUGCUUGACAAGACACUGAGGCUGUAACAUAUGUUCUUUCUAAGGGGUAUUAACAUUUUAUGCAUUA
Molecule: long non-coding RNA, 358 nt
Filed under: Bos taurus (domestic cattle)
Lineage: Eukaryota; Metazoa; Chordata; Mammalia; Artiodactyla; Bovidae
Description: long non-coding RNA NONBTAT019172
Source: RNAcentral